GAAGUUGGUUGGGCAGUCGCCCCGAUACUGAUUUAGUUUAUCGGGGAGGAAAGUCCGAACUCCGUAGGGCAAGGUGCUCCAUAACCAGGAGUCAUUAUGAUUGAAGGAAAGUGCCACAGAAACUAUACCGUCCCAUCUCGAUCUUUCGGGAUUGGGUCAAGGGUGAAAUGGUGCGUCCUGCAAUUAAGCGGGAUUAAAGUAAGAGCGCACCGUCCCGACAGUGAUGUCGGGGGCAGGGUAAACCCCACCUGGAGCAAGAUUAAGCAGGGAAUAUGGAUUGCCCGUCCUGCAAAGUUCCCGGGUAGAUCGCUUAACUUCAGCCGCAAGGCUGAAUGUAGAUAAAUGGCUGCCAUCCGCCAACUGGCGGAUACAGAAUUCGGCUUAUAGACCAACUUCAGAA
This 400-nucleotide RNase P RNA is filed under the name Fidelibacterota bacterium. RNAcentral describes it as "Candidatus Marinimicrobia bacterium RNase P RNA component class A". It matches the Rfam family "Bacterial RNase P class A". From Rfam's summary of the family: Ribonuclease P (RNase P) is a ubiquitous endoribonuclease, found in archaea, bacteria and eukarya as well as chloroplasts and mitochondria. Its best characterised activity is the generation of mature 5'-ends of tRNAs by cleaving the 5'-leader elements of precursor-tRNAs. Cellular RNase Ps are ribonucleoproteins. Lineage: Bacteria; Pseudomonadati; Fidelibacterota. The record is from RNAcentral.